Molecule: long non-coding RNA, 982 nt
Filed under: Lepidothrix coronata (blue-crowned manakin)
Lineage: Eukaryota; Metazoa; Chordata; Aves; Passeriformes; Pipridae
Description: lncRNA (ENSLCOG00000008364.1)
Source: RNAcentral
CUUCUGCCUCUUGUGAUUUAACUGCUUGAUCUUCCCAUCAAAACAACUCUAGCACUACCAAAUUUGACAGCGCUGUGUGCUGAGUGAGGAUUUGGGGUUUAGAAGAAAUCCCUAGAAGGGGCUGGGAUGCUGAGACAAAUGUGUUUUCCCACAACACAUUUUUCUUUACUUGGAAAAGGUAAAACACCUGAAGGAAAUAAAACUCAAGAUUUUGAAGACAUCUUGUCUAGGACUUACCUGAUUUUAUUGUUCAUCCUGCAUUUUUUUGUUUACUUUUUUUCAGAGCCUCCAUUGAUUUUAACAAAAUUAAGUUUAUGACAUAUAAACAUAUCUACCUAUAGGCUGCAGCCGUGUUCCAGCUUUAUGUGAUUGAGGCACCUGAAGAAGGCUCAAGAGGAGUGGCAGAGGUGCCUGGAGUAUUGAAUCUUGCAGUUCAGUGAACAUGUGUUAGAAACAGUAGUGGAGGAGGAUUGAAUUGACUCAUACAUAGAUCAGGGUCACAGUCUGGUGCUCACCAAAGGAGAUGAGCUUCCUCAUCUGCGUUUUGAGUGCAAGCACAUGCUGAAAGUGGGAGGAGGGUUUUGCUGAGAUGACAGAAGCAUAUGUGCAGAUAAUGUCUAUUCUUGCAUCUAGCUCUCUUCUGCAAAAUACCAGUGAUCAAGAAGAUGCUGGAGCUUGCAUUGUAGAUUGUUACAUUUAUGGAAUUGAGAACAAGGAUAAAAAUGUAAGUAAAAUGAUAAAAAAAGUCAAGAAGGGGAGAGAGCAAAGACCUGCUUGCGAGCCUUUACCUUGAAGACAUGGCCAUGCAUGCCAGAGGGGUGAAAGGAAUCCCUUUGAGAAGGCAGGAUGGCAAGAAGCCCUCUUCAACCUCUGGAUGUUCAGCACACAAAUCCCUGAGAAGGCCAGGAUUUCUUGAGAAUAUUUUCUUCCAUUAAUUUUUACAGCAAAUAAAGUAGUUGAAGAACGUGGAAAUACUUGGUAG